RNAcentral lists this ribosomal RNA (373 nucleotides) under uncultured bacterium. Its description in RNAcentral is "bacterial SSU rRNA". It matches the Rfam family "Bacterial small subunit ribosomal RNA", at positions 523 to 898 of the family's 1533-position model. The record is from RNAcentral.
AUACGUAGGGGGCAAGCGUUAUCCGGAUUCAUUGGGCGUAAAGAGCGCGUAGGCGGACGUUUAAGCAGAAUCUCUAAUCUGAGGGCUCAACCCCCAGCCGGAUUCUGAACUGGAUGUCUCGAGUUUGGUAGAGGAAGAUGGAAUUCCCGGUGUAGCGGUGGAAUGCGCAGAUAUCGGGAAGAACACCGAUGGCGAAGGCAGUCUUCUGGGCCAUAACUGACGCUGAGGCGCGAAAGCUAGGGGAGCGAACAGGAUUAGAUACCCUGGUAGUCCUAGCCGUAAACGAUGGGCACUAGGUGUGGGGGGAUUCUCCCUCCGUGCCGCAGCUAACGCAUUAAGUGCCCCGCCUGGGGAGUACGGCCGCAAGGCUAAA